UUCUUAUCUAGAGAGAUUGAGGGAUCAGGCCCUAUGACAUCUCGGCAGCGGAUUCUUUAUAUUAAAGAAUACUGUGCCAAUUCCUGCAAAUGCAAACGAGCAUUUGAAAGAUGAGAA
Molecule: non-coding RNA, 117 nt
Filed under: Oceanobacillus iheyensis
Lineage: Bacteria; Bacillati; Bacillota; Bacilli; Caryophanales; Bacillaceae
Also listed under: 1 other name
Description: SAM-I sequence
Rfam family: SAM riboswitch aptamer (S box leader)
About the family: The SAM riboswitch is found upstream of a number of genes which code for proteins involved in methionine or cysteine biosynthesis in Gram-positive bacteria. The SAM riboswitch acts at the level of transcription termination control. The predicted structure consists of a complex stem-loop region followed by a single stem loop terminator region.
Source: RNAcentral